ACGGGAGGCAGCAGUGGGGAAUAUUGCACAAUGGGGGAAACCCUGAUGCAGCGACGCCGCGUGAGCGAAGAAGUAUUUCGGUAUGUAAAGCUCUAUCAGCUGGGAAGAAAAUGACGGUACCUGACUAAGAAGCCCCGGCUAACUACGUGCCAGCAGCCGCGGUAAUACGUAGGGGGCAAGCGUUAUCCGGAUUUACUGGGUGUAAAGGGAGCGCAGGCGGUCUUGCAAGUCUGAUGUGAAAGCCCGGGGCUCAACCCCGGGACUGCAUUGGAAACUGUGAGACUAGAGUGUCGGAGGGGCAAGUGGAAUUCCUAGUGUAGCGGUGAAAUGCGUAGAUAUUAGGAGGAACACCAGUGGCGAAGGCGGCUUGCUGGACGACAACUGACGCUGAGGCUCGAAAGCGUGGGGAGCAAACAGGAUUAGAUACCCUGGUA
RNAcentral lists this ribosomal RNA (434 nucleotides) under uncultured Lachnospiraceae bacterium. Its description in RNAcentral is "partial 16S ribosomal RNA". It matches the Rfam family "Bacterial small subunit ribosomal RNA", at positions 341 to 792 of the family's 1533-position model. The record is from RNAcentral. Lineage: Bacteria; Bacillati; Bacillota; Clostridia; Lachnospirales; Lachnospiraceae.